This 732-nucleotide long non-coding RNA is filed under the name Medicago truncatula (barrel medic). RNAcentral's name for it is "lncRNA gene45884". Lineage: Eukaryota; Viridiplantae; Streptophyta; Magnoliopsida; Fabales; Fabaceae. The record is from RNAcentral.
GAAUCAGAAUGAGAUCGAAGUGGCCAUUGAGAAGAGGAAUGGUAGGUUUUUAUUGCAGAUGGCUGGGAGAUCCUAAAGAGGUUUUAUAAGAUUUUUUCCGGCACUUGGAUCACGGUGGUGUACGCAGAUAGACACCUUUUUGUGUUGGAAGUCAGAGAUUUCCAUGGACAAGAAUUGGUGUAUCCACAAUUCACUCCUCCUCAAAGAUUGCUGCUGGAGAAUCAUAGGAUAUACGAGAAAUGGCAACUAUUACUUUGUUGAUAUAUUAUGCAUAUUUGAUCUCAAUGAAGUGAUCUUUUCAUUAUGUUGCUGCAUGAUGUUACAAUCUUUUUAGGCGGAGAGGAGGGGAUGAUCUUGAACAAAGUCAUAUUAAAUGGGUGGAAACUGUAAAAUUGGCACCAGACAUCAUUAACAUGAAAUUUACACCCAUCGUUUCUCUUCUUGAAGGAGUACAUGGCGUAAAGCUUUUGGAACGUGCUAUUGAUCUAUAUCUACAGUUCUCUGAGGCCAUACCUAGAAGUAGAUAUUAGUGGGCGACAAUAAUAAAAGUCAAGGUAAUCUCUUAGACAUGUUGGAGUAUAUCUACUAUAAUCAAUUUCCUCUCAUGGACAACUAUAUGUGCCUCUAAGAAAGGCUUGAAGAUACCGGUAAUUGACGAAAAAAAUUGAAGAUGUAGAUGUAAUGUCAAAUGUAGUUUACAAAGACAUUUCAUAAUGUUCAAUAGUUACUUAC